GACGAACGCUGGCGGUGUGCUUAACACAUGCAAGUCGAACGGUAAGGCCCUUUCGGGGGUACACGAGUGGCGAACGGGUGAGUAACACGUGAGUAACCUGCCCUCAUCUCUGGGAUAACAGUCGGAAACGGUUGCUAAUACUGGAUAUGAUCCUGCAAGGCAUCUUGUGGGUUGGAAAGAUUUUUUGGUUGGGGAUGGACUCGCGGCCUAUCAGCUUGUUGGUGAGGUAGUGGCUCACCAAGGCUUCGACGGGUAGCCGGCCUGAGAGGGCGACCGGCCACAUUGGGACUGAGAUACGGCCCAAACUCCUACGGGAGGCAGCAGUGGGGAAUAUUGCACAAUGGACGGAAGUCUGAUGCAGCAACGCCGCGUGCGGGAUGACGGCCUUCGGGUUGUAAACCGCUUUCAAUUGUGACGAAGCUUUUUGUGACGGUAGCAGUAGAAGAAGCACCGGCUAACUACGUG
Molecule: ribosomal RNA, 465 nt
Filed under: uncultured bacterium
Lineage: Bacteria
Description: partial 16S ribosomal RNA
Rfam family: Bacterial small subunit ribosomal RNA
Source: RNAcentral